This 235-nucleotide ribosomal RNA is filed under the name uncultured bacterium. Its description in RNAcentral is "partial 16S ribosomal RNA". It matches the Rfam family "Bacterial small subunit ribosomal RNA", at positions 524 to 759 of the family's 1533-position model. The record is from RNAcentral.
UACGAAGGGGGCUAGCGUUGCUCGGAAUCACUGGGCGUAAAGCGCACGUAGGCGGCUUUCUAAGUCAGGGGUGAAAUCCUGGAGCUCAACUCCAGAACUGCCUUUGAUACUGGAGAGCUCGAGUCCGGAAGAGGUGAGUGGAACUGCGAGUGUAGAGGUGAAUUCGUAGAUAUUCGCAAGAACACCAGUGGCGAAGGCGGCUCACUGGUCCGGUACUGACGCUGAGGUGCGAAAG